AGAACAUGUUGCAUAUGAGCCU
RNAcentral lists this non-coding RNA (22 nucleotides) under Arabidopsis thaliana (thale cress). Lineage: Eukaryota; Viridiplantae; Streptophyta; Magnoliopsida; Brassicales; Brassicaceae. The record is from RNAcentral.